This 604-nucleotide ribosomal RNA is filed under the name Escherichia coli. Its description in RNAcentral is "partial 23S ribosomal RNA". It matches the Rfam family "Bacterial large subunit ribosomal RNA", at positions 614 to 1220 of the family's 2925-position model. The record is from RNAcentral. Lineage: Bacteria; Pseudomonadati; Pseudomonadota; Gammaproteobacteria; Enterobacterales; Enterobacteriaceae.
AAUGGGUCAGCGACUUAUAUUCUGUAGCAAGGUUAACCGAAUAGGGGAGCCGAAGGGAAACCGAGUCUUAACUGGGCGUUAAGUUGCAGGGUAUAGACCCGAAACCCGGUGAUCUAGCCAUGGGCAGGUUGAAGGUUGGGUAACACUAACUGGAGGACCGAACCGACUAAUGUUGAAAAAUUAGCGGAUGACUUGUGGCUGGGGGUGAAAGGCCAAUCAAACCGGGAGAUAGCUGGUUCUCCCCGAAAGCUAUUUAGGUAGCGCCUCGUGAAUUCAUCUCCGGGGGUAGAGCACUGUUUCGGCAAGGGGGUCAUCCCGACUUACCAACCCGAUGCAAACUGCGAAUACCGGAGAAUGUUAUCACGGGAGACACACGGCGGGUGCUAACGUCCGUCGUGAAGAGGGAAACAACCCAGACCGCCAGCUAAGGUCCCAAAGUCAUGGUUAAGUGGGAAACGAUGUGGGAAGGCCCAGACAGCCAGGAUGUUGGCUUAGAAGCAGCCAUCAUUUAAAGAAAGCGUAAUAGCUCACUGGUCGAGUCGGCCUGCGCGGAAGAUGUAACGGGGCUAAACCAUGCACCGAAGCUGCGGCAGCGACGCUUAUG